CUGUCAUUCAAGCAGAUUCUAUGAGGUUCUGUGUAUCCGUGAGACUAUUGUUAUAUGCAGACGUGUCACUGCACUUACUAGUAGCCAUGAUACUGACAGAUUGAAUGAACCCGGUAAAACUUUACUGGCUUAUUGUAAAACAACUAGAAGCUGACAAAUAUUCCGGUUAAUUCUUCAGUAAAUUAUCUGGUAACACUAGCGGUUUUUUCCCGCGGAAACUGAUAACGUGACUCUAAAUGUUGCCGCGAAAGAUGCUUCUGGGAUGCCAUAUUGGUUUUUUGGUUCGUGCCGAAGGUUGAUGUCUAAUUCCCUAAUGGCCCAAUUUAAUUUAAAGGGAAAUAAAGGGAGGCGGUCCAUAAUGGACUUAGAAAUUUACAAAGUUGUCCGAGAUAGUGUAAUGAUCAGUCAGCUGAGCUGCAAUGAAGCCGAGAUAAUAACAGCACAGUUUCGGCUCAUCUAAAAUAUGAGCCGGACAGAAGAG
Molecule: long non-coding RNA, 481 nt
Organism: Patella vulgata (common limpet)
Lineage: Eukaryota; Metazoa; Mollusca; Gastropoda; Patellidae
Exons: 4
Source: RefSeq, a predicted model, not a curated record